RNAcentral lists this ribosomal RNA (565 nucleotides) under uncultured Planctomycetota bacterium. RNAcentral's name for it is "bacterial SSU rRNA". It matches the Rfam family "Bacterial small subunit ribosomal RNA", at positions 8 to 564 of the family's 1533-position model. Lineage: Bacteria; Pseudomonadati; Planctomycetota. The record is from RNAcentral.
AGAGUUUGAUCCUGGCUCAGAAUGAACGUUGGCGGCGUGGAUUAGGCAUGCAAGUCGAGCGAGAAGUUUCUCUUCGGAGAAAUGGACAGCGGCAAACGGGGUAGUAAAGCGUAGGUGACGUACCCCAAGGACCGGGAUAGCUGUGGGAAACUGCAGGUAAUACCGGAUGAUCUCUCGAAGUAUGGUCACUUUGAGAGCAAUUGGUGUGAUUCCGCCUUGGGAGCGGCUUACGUGGUACUAGCUAGUUGGUGAGGUAACGGCUCACCAAGGCUCAGAUGCCUAGGGGGUGUGAGAGCAUGGCCCCCACCACUGGGACUGAGACACUGCCCAGACACCUACGGGUGGCUGCAGUCGAGAAUCUUCGGCAAUGGGCGAAAGCCUGACCGAGCGACGCCGCGUGCGGGAUGAAGGCCCUUGGGUUGUAAACCGCUGUCAGAGGGGAUGAAAUGCUAGGGGGCUAUCCCUCUAGUUUGACAGAGCCUCAGAGGAAGCACGGGCUAAGUACGUGCCAGCAGCCGUGGUAACACGUACUGUGCAAACGUUAUUCGGAAUCACUGGGCUUAAA